RNAcentral lists this long non-coding RNA (5088 nucleotides) under Coffea arabica (coffee). RNAcentral's name for it is "long non-coding RNA (CARA_LNC003942)". The record is from RNAcentral. Lineage: Eukaryota; Viridiplantae; Streptophyta; Magnoliopsida; Gentianales; Rubiaceae.
UUUUUUUUUUUUUUUUUUUUUUUUUUUCUUUUCUUGGUGUUUAAAAAUUUGAAUGCAUUUGACUCUGGUGAUGACCAUGGAUCAAUACAUGAUUCCAGACCAUAGGUUGCUUAUCUUCUUCUUUUCUUUUUUAUUCUGUUGAUAUAAAAAUAUUGAAUUUGUCUCGGAACAUGACUUUGGACAGUAGAUUGCUUAUGACAAGUUAGCAAUUUAGGGGUGGUAAUUUUCGACACGACCUGAAAACACGACACAAACCUAACACAAAAUUAAUAGGUUUUGGUUGAGAUUUUGGGAAUUCGGGUCAGAAUCGGGUUGAACCCGAUAAACCGGAAAAGAAAACAAGUUUAUUUCGGGUCAACUCGUGGUGACCUGAUAUAACCCGAUAUGACCCGUUUACGAAUUAAAAAUAAUUUAAUUAACAUAAAAAUAAUUUUAUCUAACUAAACUAAGUUAUUCUUUUUUUCAAAGGCAUUAAUUACUUAAUCCUAAAUGAAUUUAUUUAAUUUGUGUGAAGUUGAAAUUAUUAUAUUUGGACAAAUAAUAUAUUAUAUUAUUUUUUACUUUUAUACUGUUUUAAUUUAUUUUAUAUGUUGUUUGGGAUAAAACACUUUUACGGUGUUUAAUUUAUUUUAGAUUUGGUUUGAAUUAUUUAUUUAAAUUUUUAUUACUUGAGUAUGUAAUUAGUUUUGUGAGAAAUUAAUUUUAUUAGAAAUUACAGUGAUAAAUUAAAAUUAAAUUUCGGAUCAUUUCGAGUCGACCUGCCAACCCGUUAACCUGAAAUUUUCGAGUUCGGGCCAAUAUACCUGACCCGUCACGGAUUGGCGGGUCAGAUUCGAGUAAAUAGAUUCCGAUCCGCCAACCUGAUUUGGACCCGAAUUGCCACCCUAGUUAGCAUGUUAGGGCAUUAUAUCCCGAAACCAUAGGUUAGUAGGUCAGUGCAUUAUACCAUGAAGUGCUGGCAAUUCUUAUAAAUACCCAUUGGAUCAUGGGUUAGUUCAUAGAAGGUUGGCAUGUCAGGGCAUUAUUAUACCCACCAACAAAAAGUUUUAACCAGUGAGCGAGAGUGGAACACAUUAAUAAUAAUAUAUAACUUUUGCGGAGAAAGUAACUUGAUUUUACCAACUAAGCUAAACUGAGUUGACCUACCCGUCUUUUGUAUUGAUGAUGAAGAAUAGAAGGUCACAAGGUUAGGAGAUUCUUCCGUCUGUUUGAGGUAUUAUACUUUAAGAUUAAUCUCACUAUUAAAUUGUAAAAUAAGUAUUUUUUUUUUUACCUUAAAUUGCAAUAAUUUGAAUUAUUUAAAAUACCGAUCAUUAUUGCAAUGCCCAAAUCAGAUUCCCUCUCACCGUAACAGGAAGCUGCCCAGAAAAAAUGAAAAAAAAAAGCUGCGUGUAUUAUAUAUACGACCUUAAAAGGGUUUUCUUUUUCUUCCCCUUUAAAGGAAAAUGUCAGUUUUCCUCUAAAAAAAAAAAAAAGAAGUUAGUUCUGAAUUAAUUUUUUUACUUUAGCUUUUUUGUUGUUAAAGGAUUUAUUAUUCUAUAAAACCGUCUUUUUGUUUUCACAAAAAAUAUUCUCAUAUAGUAGUUAUACUAAUGUUGUCAAAUUAGAAAUAUUAAAAUCCUAUAGGCUUACCCUUGUUACAAUUUACAAAUAACAAAAAAGGUUUAUAAAACAACCCGGAAAGAAGAAAACUGAAAGGGGAAGGUAACGAUUCUUCCUUUUUCUUUUGAAGAAGAUGAAAGAAACCAAUUUAUCAGACAACAAAAUUGCCGUAGACCAACUCACAUCAUGUUUUAGAACCCCCCAAAAAAAAAAAAAAUAACUGAUAUCAUGUUUUAAAUUUUUUCAAAAAAAAAAAAGUUCUUGCCCAUUAUUCAGAGAUCAAUCAAAUAAUCUUACCCAGUCAUUCUCUUUAUCAUACAAUAAUUCCAUUUUUUUUUCCCAUGCAUUCUCCUUCAAAUCUUAACCCAACUAUUUGUGUCUCCACCUUACACAUAAUGGAGUAUUUCUUGUUCACUUUUGCAGUGCUAUUGAAUGACAAACCUUUUCCAGUUCUCUCUCCUUUUUUUUUACAAAGAAAACCACAAAAAUAAAGAAAGGUGCAAUUUGGUAGGGUCUAAACCUUUUUUUUUUUUUUUGGGUUUUCCUAAAGGCAGGUCUAGACGGUUUUUGUCUAGCCUGAUGGAUAGUGUAACAGUGCAGCUCCGGCCAUUGCACGUUCCGCACUGGUCAAACCCCCAUUUCGUCUACUUAACGGCCGUCGUUUUCCACUGCUAAAUCCACUUUGCUAUUUAUUCCAAGGUCGUUUUCACCGUAACUAGUUGGGAGCGCUGCCGGCGUUGGACGGCGCUCAUUUCGAGCCUUUUCUCGCGGUAAUGAGAGGGGUUUCAAGCCUUGAAGUCUAAGCCACGUCUGUCUGGCGCGUAAGCAAGCAGUAAUCAAUAUAUGGAAUGCCGAAGGCGAUCGCCGAUUGGGACGUGUUCGCCUGCGUCAAAUACAACACUUGGAAACUGGAUCUGCAACACCUUUUCUUAUUAGUUCGAAGGGAUAAUUUCGCAAACGUCCCCUGAGGUUUCUCAUAAUUACAACGAGCUCCCUACAAAUUUUAAAAAUUAUAUAUAUUUGCCACCAUAAAAAAAACACACACACACACACACAAAAUCCCAUUGACAACCAAUUUUAUACCUCCAAAUUAAAUAUCAAUGCUCAAAUACCUUUUCAAUAUAAGUUAAUUUGACAUAGAACCACAAUUACAACUCUCAUAUGGCCUUAAAAAUAUUAAUAUCUCAAAAAUAAAGAAUAAAUUCUACCUCCACAAUAAAAUCAUAACAAAAAAUUUCUAAUCCAAUGAAAGAAAUCAUUAUGUAAUUAUUGACAUUUUAUAAAAAAUUUUCUUAACAACAAACAAAAUAUGUUAAAUUUCACAUCUUUAGUUUUUCUUCCUAUUUCAAUCAUCAAUUUCAUUAUCUAUUUGUCUAUCACUGCGAGUCUUUUCAUUUUCUUCUAGUUUGAUGCAUAAUUUACUCCGUUUGUAGAUUUUGUAAUUCCAAUUUACUAAAAUCCACAAAAUUGAAGAUAAUAAAAAUAGGUUAUAUUAAUUAAAAAAUAGACAAGAGACAGAAAAAUAGAUUUUUUUUAGGUUCUGUAAAUUUAUUGCCUUAAAUUUAAAAUUGUCUACUAAGUGGCGGGCAUUGUAGGUAUUUUACUAUAUCAAGAAGGUAAGUGUAAUAUCUUAAAUCUGAAGAGAACCGAGUGAAAUUGUCAGAACCUGAAGGGAGGUUUAUGAAGUUAUCCGUAUUUCGAAUCCUAAUUUCAAUAGUUUCUAUCUUUUGAGUUUAUUUGAAAGGGGGAAAAAAAAUCCGUUUCAUUGAGGACCGCUGACAUAGGGGAAAAAGGAAAAUGGAGUUAAAUUACACAUUUUAUAAAUCCAUAUCUACUAUAGAAGAGCACAAUUUUCCUUGAUGUCGAACCUCUACUGUUUGGAUUGUAAGUUAUUUGGGAUUAUUUGAGAUAUUUUUAUUGUAACACUUUUUGUGAUGUGAUGUAUGUGAGAUAAAAAGAUAUUGGGAAGAUAAAAAGGUGUAUUGGAAAUUGUAAAGAUGAUGUAAGCAAAUAAAAUUGGGAAAAUAUGAACCAAUCCAAACAAACCAUAUAAUAUUGUCUUUGUAAAUAUUAUCCGCUGAGUUUGGACUGGACGGGAAUUGGGUUCCAUUGAAGCUCCCUUUUAUCUUAGCUACAAAUUAUAGAAUGAAUUGCCAUUUGGUACAAGUUUGUCCAAGUUGCUCGAUAAAUUAAGCAAAAGCCUUAAUUUUCAUAAUUUCGGUUUACGGCAUGACAUGAUGGACGAAAAUAAGGCAGUGAAACUUGUUAAUUACCUAUGCCACUUCACUUAUAGCCGGGUCCUGGAGUUCUAAAAACUUAUUAGAUGCAGUUGUUUGAAAUAAUUUAGGGUCCAUUUGGGUAGUGUGUUUUUGAGGUAUCUGUAUAAAAUUUUAUUAUAACUUGUUGUAAAAUUCAUUAAAAAAAAAAAAACUUGUAUGUAUGUGGUAUUUGGAAAAUUUGGUAUUUUUUUUCCUUUUAUUUUUCUUGCCUUCUUGUUCAUCUUCACACCACUGCUACUCUUCCUCUGCCACCUUCGCCGUCGCCGCUACCACCUCCAUCUCACCUUAUUUCUCUCUCUUUCUCCUCCUACUCCUUCCCACCCUCCCCUCCUUUUUUCCUCUCCCCCAUUUUUCCUUUCCCUCCCUGGCACCCUCAUCCCUCUUCCUCACACAUAUGAGGAAAAGGUGGUGGCAAUCACGAUGAGGGUGGUCGGCUGAGACGGUAGUAUAGUAAUAGAAAAAGAAAAUGAAUAUGUGCUUUUUUGAGUAUUUUAGAAGAUAUAAUAUAUAUUUUAAUAACGCUGUGGUGUUUUUAAAUGUUACUACAGACAAAUUCGUUAAAAAACUUAUAUAUAUAAUAAAAAGACCCAAUAAACUAGAGGGUAUCAAACACACCCAUAAAUAUUAACACAAAAACUUGAGUGUGGAAGUGUUUAUUCAAGAGCUCUAUCAAAUUUUCAAACAUUUCUUUAAGAGCAAGCUCUACCAUACAACAACAAUCUGUUAAGAAGAUGUGUUUCUCCUUCAUUACCACCAUCUAUUAACAGAAGAUGUGAUGCAUGUGAAUCAAUUUACAUCAAAAUGGAUUCAAUAAACAAAACCCCAUUUGUGAUGUUAAGAAGGCCCAGGAAACCCUAAAACUUCGUUAUGCGUUCCCAGAAAUUAAAAAACUUGCCAGUUCAUUUCAUUCGGCUGGAAGUGCUUUUCAUCCCUGCAUUCGCUGUUUCAAAAUUUGGAUCAAAAGCACCAAACUCGCUUUACUGCUACAAGCACAAGCGGCUUGCUUCGCACUUGCGUAACAAAUCUUCCAAACAUUUUUGGCGCCGAAAGACGGUCCAUUGGCACACCGACGUUAUCUUCACUUCUGGAUUAAAAUCUCUAUUCUCUAUUGACGAUUCAGAUUCGACGGCAAAAGCUUCUUUCUGGAUCACGACUUGCCCCCCAAGCUUCAUCUGUAUUACGUACGGGUCCUCUAUACAUGUCCGUG